This 449-nucleotide ribosomal RNA is filed under the name uncultured bacterium. Its description in RNAcentral is "SSU rRNA". It matches the Rfam family "Bacterial small subunit ribosomal RNA", at positions 26 to 518 of the family's 1533-position model. The record is from RNAcentral.
AGAGCGAACGCUGGCGGCAGGCUUAACACAUGCAAGUCGAGCGGGCGUAGCAAUACGUCAGCGGCAGACGGGUGAGUAACGCGUGGGAACGUACCUUUUGGUUCGGAACAACCCAGGGAAACUUGGGCUAAUACCGGAUAAGCCCUUACGGGGAAAGAUUUAUCGCCGAAAGAUCGGCCCGCGUCUGAUUAGCUAGUUGGUGAGGUAAUGGCUCACCAAGGCGACGAUCAGUAGCUGGUCUGAGAGGAUGAUCAGCCACAUUGGGACUGAGACACGGCCCAAACUCCUACGGGAGGCAGCAGUGGGGAAUAUUGGACAAUGGGCGCAAGCCUGAUCCAGCCAUGCCGCGUGAGUGAUGAAGGCCCUAGGGUUGUAAAGCUCUUUUGUGCGGGAAGAUAAGUGACGGUACCGCAAGAAUAAGCCCCGGCUAACUUCGUGCCAGCAGCCGC